Molecule: small nuclear RNA, 23 nt
Filed under: Arabidopsis thaliana (thale cress)
Lineage: Eukaryota; Viridiplantae; Streptophyta; Magnoliopsida; Brassicales; Brassicaceae
Description: snRNA_13010
Source: RNAcentral
UACAUCGGCGGUUAUUUUUUCGG